GCUUGUCUCAAAGAUUAAGCCAUGCAUGUCUCAGCAUAAGCUUCAACACGGUGAAACUGCAAAUGGCUCAUUAAAGCAGUUACAAUUUAUUUGAUGGUCACUGUUACAUGGAUAACUGUGGUAAUUCUAGAGCUAAUACAUGCGAAAAGUCCUGACUUCUUCGUGAGGGAGGGAUGUAUUUAUUAGAUACAAUCAAACGCACCAACAUAAAACCUUGGUGAUUCAUAAUAACUGUUCGGAUCGUAUGGCUUUUUGCCGACGACAGAUCAUUCAAAUUUCUGCCCUAUCAGCUUUCGACGGUACUGUAGUGGACUACCGUGGCAUUAACGGGUGACGGAGAAUUAGGGUUCGAUUCCGGAGAGGGAGCCUGAGAAAUGGCUACCACAUCCAAGGAAGGCAGCAGG
This 404-nucleotide ribosomal RNA is filed under the name uncultured eukaryote. Its description in RNAcentral is "partial small subunit ribosomal RNA". It matches the Rfam family "Eukaryotic small subunit ribosomal RNA", at positions 30 to 432 of the family's 1831-position model. The record is from RNAcentral.